RNAcentral lists this non-coding RNA (64 nucleotides) under Streptomyces agglomeratus. RNAcentral's name for it is "Streptomyces RNA 2736". It matches the Rfam family "Streptomyces RNA 2736". Rfam says of the family: Identified by deep sequencing of transcriptome at the end of exponential growth phase. Appears smaller on northern blot than sequencing transcript. Lineage: Bacteria; Bacillati; Actinomycetota; Actinomycetes; Kitasatosporales; Streptomycetaceae. The record is from Rfam by way of RNAcentral.
CGCCCGGCCGGAUCCCGUGGGGGGAAUCCGAUCCGGGAAAAGGGAAGCGCCCCGCAUCGUCGAC